GAUGAACGCUAGCUACAGGCUUAACACAUGCAAGUCGCGGGGCAGCAUGGGGGUUGCUUGCCAUCCCCGAUGGCGACCGGCGCACGGGUGAGUAACGCGUAUCCAACCUGCCCUUCACCACGGGAUAACCCGGCGAAAGUCGGACUAAUACCGUAUGUUGUCCAUUGACGGCAUCCGAUUUGGACGAAAGGCUUGGCGGUGAGGGAUGGGGAUGCGUCCGAUUAGCCAGACGGCGGGGUAACGGCCCACCGUGGCUACGAUCGGUAGGGGUUCUGAGAGGAAGGUCCCCCACACUGGAACUGAGACACGGUCCAGACUCCUACGGGAGGCAGCAGUGAGGAAUAUUGGUCAAUGGGCGUAAGCCUGAACCAGCCAAGUAGCGUGCAGGAUGACGGCCCUAUGGGUGGUAAACUGCCUUUAUGCGGGGAUAAAGUGGCCCACGUGUGGGCUUUUGCAGGUAUCGCAUGAAUAAGGACCGGCUAAUUCCGUG
RNAcentral lists this ribosomal RNA (490 nucleotides) under uncultured bacterium. Its description in RNAcentral is "partial 16S ribosomal RNA". It matches the Rfam family "Bacterial small subunit ribosomal RNA", at positions 28 to 507 of the family's 1533-position model. The record is from RNAcentral.